ACCGAUAGUGAACCAGUACCGUGAGGGAAAGGCGAAAAGAACCCCGGCGAGGGGAGUGAAAUAGAACCUGAAACCGUGUACGUACAAGCAGUGGGAGCCUUGAUUUAUCAGGGUGACUGCGUACCUUUUGUAUAAUGGGUCAGCGACUUAUAUUCUGUAGCAAGGUUAACCGUAUAGGGGAGCCGUAGGGAAACCGAGUCUUAACUGGGCGAAUGAGUUGCAGGGUAUAGACCCGAAACCCGGUGAUCUAGCCAUGGGCAGGUUGAAGGUUGGGUAACACUAACUGGAGGACCGAACCGACUAAUGUUGAAAAAUUAGCGGAUGAC
RNAcentral lists this ribosomal RNA (326 nucleotides) under Vibrio parahaemolyticus. RNAcentral describes it as "partial 23S ribosomal RNA". It matches the Rfam family "Bacterial large subunit ribosomal RNA", at positions 483 to 808 of the family's 2925-position model. The record is from RNAcentral. Lineage: Bacteria; Pseudomonadati; Pseudomonadota; Gammaproteobacteria; Vibrionales; Vibrionaceae.